GUCCACGCCCUAAACGAUGCAUAUUUGGUGUGGGCAGUUCAUUCUGUCCGUGCCGGAGCUAACGCGUUAAAUAUGCCGCCUGGGGAGUACAGUCGCAAGGCUGAAACUCAAAGGAAUUGACGGGGGCCCCGCACAAGCGGUGGAGCAUGUGGUUCAAUUCGACGCAACGCGAAGAACCUUACCUGGGCUCGAACGGCUGGUCAACGCCGGUGGAAACAUCGGUACCCCGCAAGGGGGUCCAGUCGAGGUGCUGCAUGGCUGUCGU
RNAcentral lists this ribosomal RNA (265 nucleotides) under uncultured bacterium. Its description in RNAcentral is "partial 16S ribosomal RNA". It matches the Rfam family "Bacterial small subunit ribosomal RNA", at positions 793 to 1055 of the family's 1533-position model. The record is from RNAcentral.